Stygiomarasmius scandens is the source of this 73-nucleotide non-coding RNA. NCBI's taxonomy places the organism in Eukaryota, Fungi, Basidiomycota, Agaricomycetes, Agaricales, Campanellaceae. The record is from the annotation of a GenBank genome assembly.
GGCCGGGUGGUGUAACUGGUAACACUCGCGUCCUUCAAGCGCGCACUACGCGGUUCGAGUCCCGUCCCGUCCA